RNAcentral lists this ribosomal RNA (465 nucleotides) under Vreelandella stevensii. RNAcentral describes it as "partial 16S ribosomal RNA". It matches the Rfam family "Bacterial small subunit ribosomal RNA", at positions 338 to 795 of the family's 1533-position model. Lineage: Bacteria; Pseudomonadati; Pseudomonadota; Gammaproteobacteria; Oceanospirillales; Halomonadaceae. The record is from RNAcentral.
CCUACGGGUGGCUGCAGUGGGGAAUAUUGGACAAUGGGGGGAACCCUGAUCCAGCCAUGCCGCGUGUGUGAAGAAGGCCCUCGGGUUGUAAAGCACUUUCAGUGAGGAAGAACGCCUGGUGGUUAAUACCCAUCAGGAAAGACAUCACUCACAGAAGAAGCACCGGCUAACUCCGUGCCAGCAGCCGCGGUAAUACGGAGGGUGCGAGCGUUAAUCGGAAUUACUGGGCGUAAAGCGCGCGUAGGUGGCUUGAUAAGCCGGUUGUGAAAGCCCCGGGCUCAACCUGGGAACGGCAUCCGGAACUGUCAAGCUAGAGUGCAGGAGAGGAAGGUAGAAUUCCCGGUGUAGCGGUGAAAUGCGUAGAGAUCGGGAGGAAUACCAGUGGCGAAGGCGGCCUUCUGGACUGACACUGGCACUGAGGUGCGAAAGCGUGGGUAGCAAACAGGAUUAGAUACCCCAGUAGUC